AACGCACCUUGCGCUCUUUGGUAUUCCGAAGAGCAUGCCUGUUUGAGUGUCAUGAAAAUAUCAACCUUGACUUGGGCUUUGUGCACGAGUUUAGGCUUGGAUGUGGGUGCUUGUCGCUUUAACACGCGGCUCACCUUAAAUGUAUUAGCUGGAUCAGUCUUUGAGACUUGGUUUGACUUGGCGUAAUAAGUAUUUCGCUAAGGACAUUCUUCGGAAUGGCCUCGUUUCUGGGACACCUGUCCGCUUUCCAAUACGAGUUCCAGAAAUGGACAUGACUUUUUAUCAUCUGGCCUCAAAUCAGGUAGGACUACCCGCUGAACUUAA
Molecule: unclassified non-coding RNA, 324 nt
Filed under: uncultured Tremellomycetes
Lineage: Eukaryota; Fungi; Basidiomycota; Tremellomycetes
Description: sequence contains ITS2
Rfam family: 5.8S ribosomal RNA (bases 1-52)
Source: RNAcentral